This 256-nucleotide ribosomal RNA is filed under the name uncultured bacterium. RNAcentral's name for it is "partial 16S ribosomal RNA". It matches the Rfam family "Bacterial small subunit ribosomal RNA", at positions 98 to 354 of the family's 1533-position model. The record is from RNAcentral.
CGGGACGGGUGAGUAACGCGUGGGUAACCUGCCUUACACAGGGGGAUAACACUUAGAAAUAGGUGCUAAUACCGCAUGAGCGCACAGGACCGCAUGGUCGAGUGUGAAAAACUGAGGUGGUGUAAGAUGGACCCGCGUCUGAUUAGCUAGUUGGUGAGGUAACGGCCCACCAAGGCGACGAUCAGUAGCCGGCCUGAGAGGGUGGACGGCCACAUUGGGACUGAGACACGGCCCAAACUCCUACGGAAGGCAGCAG